RNAcentral lists this ribosomal RNA (253 nucleotides) under uncultured bacterium. RNAcentral's name for it is "partial 16S ribosomal RNA". It matches the Rfam family "Bacterial small subunit ribosomal RNA", at positions 524 to 776 of the family's 1533-position model. The record is from RNAcentral.
UACGAAGGGGGUUAGCGUUGCUCGGAAUUACUGGGCGUAAAGCGCACGUAGGCGGCUUUCUAAGUCGGGGGUGAAAUCCUGGAGCUCAACUCCAGAACUGCCUUCGAUACUGGAAAGCUCGAGUCCGGGAGAGGUGAGUGGAACUGCGAGUGUAGAGGUGAAAUUCGUAGAUAUUCGCAAGAACACCAGUGGCGAAGGCGGCUCACUGGCCCGGUACUGACGCUGAGGUGCGAAAGCGUGGGGAGCAAACAGG